CCUACGGGAGGCAGCAGUGAGGAAUAUUGGUCAAUGGGCUUACGCCUGAACCAGCCAAGUCGCGUGAGGGAAGACUGCCCUAUGGGUUGUAAACCUCUUUUGUCAGGGAGCAACGCAUGCCACGUGUAGCCGGACUGAGAGUACCUGAAGAAAAAGAAUCGCCUAACUACGUGCCAGCAGCCGCGGUAAUACGGAGGAUGAGUGCGUUAUCCGGAUUGAUUGGGUUAAAAGGGUACGUAGGCGUAAUGCCAAGGCCGCGGUAAAAUCGGGGGGCUCAACCUCGCUCAGCCGUUGAAACUGGCGUUCUUGAGUGGGCGAGAAGUAUGAGGAAUGCGUGGGGUAGCGGUGAAAUGCAUAGAUAUCACGCAGAACUCCGAUUGCGAAGGCAGCAUACCGGCGCCCAACUGACGCUGAAGCACGAAAGCGUGGGUAUCGAACAGGAUUAGAUACCCCUGUAGUC
This 460-nucleotide ribosomal RNA is filed under the name uncultured bacterium. Its description in RNAcentral is "partial 16S ribosomal RNA". It matches the Rfam family "Bacterial small subunit ribosomal RNA", at positions 338 to 795 of the family's 1533-position model. The record is from RNAcentral.